UACGUAGGGUGCGAGCGUUGUCCGGAAUUAUUGGGCGUAAAGGGCUCGUAGGCGGUCUGUCGCGUCGGGAGUGAAAACCCAGGGCUCAACCCUGGGCCUGCUUUCGAUACGGGCAGACUAGAGGUAUGCAGGGGAGAAUGGAAUUCCUGGUGUAGCGGUGAAAUGCGCAGAUAUCAGGAGGAACACCAGUGGCGAAGGCGGUUCUCUGGGCAUUACCUGACGCUGAGGAGCGAAAGUGUGGGGAGCGAACAGG
Molecule: ribosomal RNA, 253 nt
Filed under: uncultured bacterium
Lineage: Bacteria
Description: partial 16S ribosomal RNA
Rfam family: Bacterial small subunit ribosomal RNA
Source: RNAcentral